GCCCAGCUAGCACAGUUGGUAGAGCAUGAGACUCUUAAUCUCAGGGUUGUGAGUUUAAGCCCCACGUUGGGUG
RNAcentral lists this transfer RNA (73 nucleotides) under Cricetulus griseus (Chinese hamster). It matches the Rfam family "tRNA". Rfam says of the family: Transfer RNA (tRNA) molecules are approximately 80 nucleotides in length. Their secondary structure includes four short double-helical elements and three loops (D, anti-codon, and T loops). Lineage: Eukaryota; Metazoa; Chordata; Mammalia; Rodentia; Cricetidae. The record is from Rfam by way of RNAcentral.